GAUGAAGAACGUAGCGAAAUGCGAUAAGUAAUGUGAAUUGCAGAAUUCAGUGAAUCAUCGAAUCUUUGAACGCACAUUGCGCCCGCCAGUAUUCUGGCGGGCAUGCCUGUUCGAGCGUCAUUACAACCCUCAAGCCCCCCGGCUUGGUGUUGGGGACCGGCCACCGGUGCCCUGCUGCUUCCACGGCAGGCGCGCCCGGCCGCCCCCGAAAUGAAUUGGCGGCCCCGUCGCGGCCUCCCUCUGCGUAGUAGCACACAUCUCGCAGCUGGAGCGCGGCGCGGCCACUGCCGUAAAACGCACCAACUUUUUUUUACAGUUGACCUCGAAUCAGGUAGGAAUACCCGCUGAACUUAAGCAUAUCAAUAAGCGGAGGA
This 374-nucleotide unclassified non-coding RNA is filed under the name soil metagenome. RNAcentral describes it as "partial contains 5.8S ribosomal RNA, internal transcribed spacer 2, and large subunit ribosomal RNA". The stretch from base 1 to 120 matches the Rfam family "5.8S ribosomal RNA", at positions 35 to 154 of the family's 154-position model. The record is from RNAcentral.